CAUGAGAGUUGUCUGUACCCGAAAUCAUCUUAGCUAACCUUACAGGAGGCGGGGUGAUGAAAGGUAUGGAUGAUGAUUGGGCUG
Molecule: ribosomal RNA, 84 nt
Filed under: uncultured bacterium
Lineage: Bacteria
Description: partial 16S ribosomal RNA
Source: RNAcentral